RNAcentral lists this long non-coding RNA (311 nucleotides) under Mytilus galloprovincialis (Mediterranean mussel). The record is from RNAcentral. Lineage: Eukaryota; Metazoa; Mollusca; Bivalvia; Mytilida; Mytilidae.
CAAAGGACUACAAAAAGCUGAAAAAAGAAAAAGAUUAAUAGAAUGGUCAAAGCAACAAAAAUGUGAUAUCAUAUUAAUGCAAGAAACUCACUUUGUAAAUAAUAUGUCAACCCAAUUAAAAAAUGAAUUUGAAGGACAAAUUAUAUUAAGUAACGGAACAAGCAAUUCACGAGGUGUUGCAAUUUGGAUAAAAAACCCACUAAAUUUGAAAUUAAUUGAUAGUUUUGAAGACGAAGAAGGUAGAUUUCUACUUGUAAAUAUGGAAGUUAAUGACAACAUAUUAACUUUAGUUAAUUUAUAUGCACCUAAUA